This 70-nucleotide transfer RNA is filed under the name Dipodomys ordii (Ord's kangaroo rat). It matches the Rfam family "tRNA". Rfam says of the family: Transfer RNA (tRNA) molecules are approximately 80 nucleotides in length. Their secondary structure includes four short double-helical elements and three loops (D, anti-codon, and T loops). The record is from Rfam by way of RNAcentral. Lineage: Eukaryota; Metazoa; Chordata; Mammalia; Rodentia; Heteromyidae.
GGGAAUGUGGUUUAGUGGUAGAGUGCUUGCCUUCUGUGCAUGAAGCCCCAGGUUCGAUUCCUCAGUACUA